RNAcentral lists this ribosomal RNA (2791 nucleotides) under Staphylococcus aureus. Its description in RNAcentral is "bacterial LSU rRNA". It matches the Rfam family "Bacterial large subunit ribosomal RNA". The record is from RNAcentral. Lineage: Bacteria; Bacillati; Bacillota; Bacilli; Caryophanales; Staphylococcaceae.
AGAUUAAGUUAUUAAGGGCGCACGGUGGAUGCCUUGGCACUAGAAGCCGAUGAAGGACGUUACUAACGACGAUAUGCUUUGGGGAGCUGUAAGUAAGCUUUGAUCCAGAGAUUUCCGAAUGGGGAAACCCAGCAUGAGUUAUGUCAUGUUAUCGAUAUGUGAAUACAUAGCAUAUCAGAAGGCACACCCGGAGAACUGAAACAUCUUAGUACCCGGAGGAAGAGAAAGAAAAUUCGAUUCCCUUAGUAGCGGCGAGCGAAACGGGAAGAGCCCAAACCAACAAGCUUGCUUGUUGGGGUUGUAGGACACUCUAUACGGAGUUACAAAGGACGACAUUAGACGAAUCAUCUGGAAAGAUGAAUCAAAGAAGGUAAUAAUCCUGUAGUCGAAAAUGUUGUCUCUCUUGAGUGGAUCCUGAGUACGACGGAGCACGUGAAAUYCCGUCGGAAUCUGGGAGGACCAUCUCCUAAGGCUAAAUACUCUCUAGUGACCGAUAGUGAACCAGUACCGUGAGGGAAAGGUGAAAAGCACCCCGGAAGGGGAGUGAAAUAGAACCUGAAACCGUGUGCUUACAAGUAGUCAGAGCCCGUUAAUGGGUGAUGGCGUGCCUUUUGUAGAAUGAACCGGCGAGUUACGAUUUGAUGCAAGGUUAAGCAGUAAAUGUGGAGCCGUAGCGAAAGCGAGUCUGAAUAGGGCGUUUAGUAUUUGGUCGUAGACCCGAAACCAGGUGAUCUACCCUUGGUCAGGUUGAAGUUCAGGUAACACUGAAUGGAGGACCGAACCGACUUACGUUGAAAAGUGAGCGGAUGAACUGAGGGUAGCGGAGAAAUUCCAAUCGAACCUGGAGAUAGCUGGUUCUCUCCGAAAUAGCUUUAGGGCUAGCCUCAAGUGAUGAUUAUUGGAGGUAGAGCACUGUUUGGACGAGGGGCCCCUCUCGGGUUACCGAAUUCAGACAAACUCCGAAUGCCAAUUAAUUUAACUUGGGAGUCAGAACAUGGGUGAUAAGGUCCGUGUUCGAAAGGGAAACAGCCCAGACCACCAGCUAAGGUCCCAAAAUAUAUGUUAAGUGGAAAAGGAUGUGGCGUUCAAUGGUAGGAGAGCGUUCUAAGGGCGUUGAAGCAUGAUCGUAAGGACAUGUGGAGCGCUUAGAAGUGAGAAUGCCGGUGUGAGUAGCGAAAGACGGGUGAGAAUCCCGUCCACCGAUUGACUAAGGUUUCCAGAGGAAGGCUCGUCCGCUCUGGGUUAGUCGGGUCCUAAGCUGAGGCCGACAGGCGUAGGCGAUGGAUAACAGGUUGAUAUUCCUGUACCACCUAUAAUCGUUUUAAUCGAUGGGGGGACGCAGUAGGAUAGGCGAAGCGUGCGAUUGGAUUGCACGUCUAAGCAGUAAGGCUGAGUAUUAGGCAAAUCCGGUACUCGUUAAGGCUGAGCUGUGAUGGGGAGAAGACAUUGWGUCUUCGAGUCGUUGAUUUCACACUGCCGAGAAAAGCCUCUAGAUAGAAAAUAGGUGCCCGUACCGCAAACCGACACAGGUAGUCAAGAUGAGAAUUCUAAGGUGAGCGAGCGAACUCUCGUUAAGGAACUCGGCAAAAUGACCCCGUAACUUCGGGAGAAGGGGUGCUCUUUAGGGUUAACGCCCAGAAGAGCCGCAGUGAAUAGGCCCAAGCGACUGUUUAUCAAAAACACAGGUCUCUGCUAAACCGUAAGGUGAUGUAUAGGGGCUGACGCCUGCCCGGUGCUGGAAGGUUAAGAGGAGUGGUUAGCUUCUGCGAAGCUACGAAUCGAAGCCCCAGUAAACGGCGGCCGUAACUAUAACGGUCCUAAGGUAGCGAAAUUCCUUGUCGGGUAAGUUCCGACCCGCACGAAAGGCGUAACGAUUUGGGCACUGUCUCAACGAGAGACUCGGUGAAAUCAUAGUACCUGUGAAGAUGCAGGUUACCCGCGACAGGACGGAAAGACCCCGUGGAGCUUUACUGUAGCCUGAUAUUGAAAUUCGGCACAGCUUGUACAGGAUAGGUAGGAGCCUUUGAAACGUGAGCGCUAGCUUACGUGGAGGCGCUGGUGGGAUACUACCCUAGCUGUGUUGGCUUUCUAACCCGCACCACUUAUCGUGGUGGGAGACAGUGUCAGGCGGGCAGUUUGACUGGGGCGGUCGCCUCCUAAAAGGUAACGGAGGCGCUCAAAGGUUCCCUCAGAAUGGUUGGAAAUCAUUCAUAGAGUGUAAAGGCAUAAGGGAGCUUGACUGCGAGACCUACAAGUCGAGCAGGGUCGAAAGACGGACUUAGUGAUCCGGUGGUUCCGCAUGGAAGGGCCAUCGCUCAACGGAUAAAAGCUACCCCGGGGAUAACAGGCUUAUCUCCCCCAAGAGUUCACAUCGACGGGGAGGUUUGGCACCUCGAUGUCGGCUCAUCGCAUCCUGGGGCUGUAGUCGGUCCCAAGGGUUGGGCUGUUCGCCCAUUAAAGCGGUACGCGAGCUGGGUUCAGAACGUCGUGAGACAGUUCGGUCCCUAUCCGUCGUGGGCGUAGGAAAUUUGAGAGGAGCUGUCCUUAGUACGAGAGGACCGGGAUGGACAUACCUCUGGUGUACCAGUUGUCGUGCCAACGGCAUAGCUGGGUAGCUAUGUGUGGACGGGAUAAGUGCUGAAAGCAUCUAAGCAUGAAGCCCCCCUCAAGAUGAGAUUUCCCAACUUCGGUUAUAAGAUCCCUCAAAGAUGAUGAGGUUAAUAGGUUCGAGGUGGAAGCAUGGUGACAUGUGGAGCUGACGAAUACUAAUCGAUCGAAGACUUAAUCAAAA